RNAcentral lists this transfer RNA (51 nucleotides) under Typosyllis sp. patternB. RNAcentral's name for it is "tRNA-Cys". The record is from RNAcentral. Lineage: Eukaryota; Metazoa; Annelida; Polychaeta; Phyllodocida; Syllidae.
GAGGUGGAAGUUAGCAUGCAAUGCUGAGACAGGAGUUUUCUCCCUACCUCU